This is a small nucleolar RNA of Bacillus rossius redtenbacheri, 195 nucleotides long. RefSeq annotates it as small nucleolar RNA U3. The transcript has a single exon. The record is from RefSeq and is a predicted model, not a curated record. NCBI's taxonomy places the organism in Eukaryota, Metazoa, Arthropoda, Insecta, Phasmatodea, Bacillidae.
AAGACUAUACUUCACAGGAUCAUUUCUGUAGUAUAUGUCUUCUCUUCUUCUCUAAACUUUGGAGUGGAUUUCAGCCGUGAUGAUGAGACAUAGUGCUGUUCCUGGAGCGUGAGAACAUCUUGAGUGUGCUCUUCGGAGUGCAAGCAAGAUAUCGAUGAUCGUUUCUAUUCAAGGGAACAGCACAGUCUGAGCGGU